CCGGCGACCGGCGCACGGGUGAGUAACACGUAUGGAACCUGCCCGCAGCAGGGGGAUAAGCGGAAGAAAUUCCGUCUAAUACCGCGUAACAACGUUGGGAGGCAUCUCCCGAUGUUUAAAGAUUUAUCGGCUGCGGAUGGCCAUGCGGCGCAUUAGCUAGUCGGCGGGGUAACGGCCCACCGAGGCGACGAUGCGUAGGGGUUCUGAGAGGAAGGUCCCCUACACUGGUACUGAGACACGGACCAGACUCCUACGGAAGGCAGCAG
RNAcentral lists this ribosomal RNA (266 nucleotides) under uncultured bacterium. Its description in RNAcentral is "partial 16S ribosomal RNA". It matches the Rfam family "Bacterial small subunit ribosomal RNA", at positions 88 to 354 of the family's 1533-position model. The record is from RNAcentral.